Unclassified non-coding RNA from Apis florea (little honeybee), 1224 nucleotides. The record is from RefSeq and is a predicted model, not a curated record. NCBI's taxonomy places the organism in Eukaryota, Metazoa, Arthropoda, Insecta, Hymenoptera, Apidae.
CCAUAUUUAUUUUAAAUAGCAGUUUUAUAUGAAUUUUUUUUAAUUAUAUCAUAAUAACGGUAUUCUUUGAAAAACCACCAUUACGAUUAAUAAAAGUUAGUAAAAAACAAUUGUUAACAUAAAGAUAACAAUGAUAAUUGUUAACAUAAAAGUUCUUGAGCAAAUGUAUAUCUCAUCCGAAUUAUCUUUUUAUGAUAUGUAACGUAUUAGCGAUUUGCUUAUAUUAAAGCUAUCGCGAGAGAUAGUUAAAUUCAGUUAAGAGAUCACGAUUUACCACUUGUCAAUAUAAGGAAGCCUUCAAUUGGAUGAAAACAUUUUAUCAUCAAGAUUUAAGCGAUGAAAAAACAUGUACGAAUGAAUAAUUACUCAGAAGAGAAUGUGUAGUUAGAUUACAUAUAAUCACGCGUAUUUGUCUUGCACUUCCCAAUAACGCGAUUUUUCCAAACAGUUAUAAAUCCGCAAUCGAAACAAACAUAGUGAUGCGUAAAACUAGUCAAGUAGAAUCCUUUAGCAUUCUAUUAAUGAAACCAAAUUUGCGUAUAGAAUUAUAAAUAUUAUACUUGUACAAAAUAGUUUAGGAUUUAUUUUGUGCAAUGAUCGAAAUAACGUUAAAGAUACGAUAUGAUAGAUAGCUUUAAGUUGACGUCGCGGAAGUCGUUUCGCGGUAUGAAAAUAGGUGUGCAGUAUGCGCGAGUAAAAACUACGUAACGAAACUAUCGUAGAACAAAAUGAGAAAUGGAGUGAUGCGAGUCUAUACGAGUGCUUAUUAAUUGUAUACGUAUAAACGCGAAUGCAAUACGUAUGUUAUUAUAUUUGUCCGUGCGCUCGUGUUUUGAAAUUUAAAACAAAUUUAUCCGAAAUUUUUUGUGAAAAUGUACGUAACAAUAGGAAUGGGCCAGCAAUGAAUACUUUGUAAAUCGGUAAUGAAUUUGUAAUCAAAGAUCAAGUGUACGUUUGAAUGUAAACAAACACGCAUAAUACAGCUGGAUGUAUCUCUAAUCUAGUAUAUUUGGAUGUAUCUUCAAUCUAUAGUGAAAAAAUAUCAAAAUGCUAUCUUUGAUUAGAUAUCUAAAUAAUCGUAAAUUUUUGAGUCUUAUUUGUAUUCCUAUUGCUGCUGUUGGAUACUAUAUAGAAGGACUUCUAUCUGAUCGUUAUACACCUCCAACUGCACCAAUAAUGGAGCAACGUGAAGAAAGAUUAUUAGCCAAUAUGAAUUCUAUGCCU